Molecule: ribosomal RNA, 473 nt
Filed under: uncultured bacterium
Lineage: Bacteria
Description: partial 16S ribosomal RNA
Rfam family: Bacterial small subunit ribosomal RNA
Source: RNAcentral
GAUGAACGCUAGCGGCAGGCCUAAUACAUCCAAGUCGAACGGGUGGUCGCAAGACCACUAGUGGCGCACGGGUGCGUAACGCGUAACCAACCUGCCCCGAUCUGGGGGAUAGCCCGCCGAAAGGCGGAUUAAUACCGCAUAUACCCGCAGCCUGGCAUCAGGCAACGGGGAAAGAUUUAUUGGAUCGGGAUGGGGUUGCGUGACAUUAGCUAGUUGGCGGGGUAAGGGCCCACCAAGGCGACGAUGUCUAGGGGACCUGAGAGGGUGAUCCCCCACACUGGCACUGAGAUACGGGCCAGACUCCUACGGGAGGCAGCAGUAGGGAAUAUUGGGCAAUGGGCGAGAGCCUGACCCAGCCAUGCCGCGUCCCGGAUGAAGGCCUUCUGGGUUGUAAACGGCUUUUCUCAGGGAAGAAAAGGACCUUGCGAGGUACACUGACGGUACCUGAGGAAUAAGCACCGGCUAACUCCGUG